CGGGUGAGUAACACGUAUGCAACCUGCCUGCCACAGCCGGAUAAUCGGGAGAAAUUCCGUCUAAUACGGCAUAAUGCAUCGACGGGACAUCCUGUUGGUGCCAAAGGCUAAUUCCGGUGGCGGAUGGGCAUGCGUCGCAUUAGUUAGUUGGCGGUGUAACGGACCACCAAGACGACGAUGCGUAGGGGUUCUGAGAGGAAGGUCCCCCACACUGGUACUGAGACACGGACCAGACUCCUACGGGAGGCAGCAG
RNAcentral lists this ribosomal RNA (253 nucleotides) under uncultured bacterium. RNAcentral describes it as "partial 16S ribosomal RNA". It matches the Rfam family "Bacterial small subunit ribosomal RNA", at positions 103 to 354 of the family's 1533-position model. The record is from RNAcentral.